Molecule: ribosomal RNA, 273 nt
Filed under: uncultured bacterium
Lineage: Bacteria
Description: partial 16S ribosomal RNA
Rfam family: Bacterial small subunit ribosomal RNA
Source: RNAcentral
UACGGAGGGGGCUAGCGUUGUUCGGAAUUACUGGGCGUAAAGCGCACGUAGGCGGCUUUGUAAGUUAGAGGUGAAAGCCCGGAGCUCAACUCCGGAACUGCCUUUAAGACUGCAUCGCUAGAACGUCGGAGAGGUAAGUGGAAUUCCGAGUGUAGAGGUGAAAUUCGUAGAUAUUCGGAAGAACACCAGUGGCGAAGGCGACUUACUGGACGACUGUUGACGCUGAGGUGCGAAAGCGUGGGGAGCAAACAGGAUUAGAAACCCCUGUAGUCC